AGCUGAAUAAACCCUUUCCUCCCUCUCCGAAUGUCUGUGGUGUUCCAUCACAGCAAUAGAAACCCUACCGAAGACGAGCGUGACUGAGGUCUUACACCAAUAUGAACACACAUUAUAGCUUCAGACAGGGGUAUCCGUAAACAGCUUGUGCCACCUCAAACUUUAAAAGACUGAGACUGGAGGACACCCUUGUUACCCACCGUCCCACAGCUGAGAUCACUGUUCACUUUGGCAGAAUUUGGGAAGACACACUCUUGGGUGGAGAAGGAGACUAAGCAACAGACAGGCGUCAGGAUCUAGUAGUAAGUGGCAAGGCAGCAGGGCUUCCCUGUCACGCCAGCCACCAGAACAGCCUUUCUGAUCGCAAUAGGCAGAAUGCCCCCUUGGAGACACACGUGGCGGAGUCUCCAGUAACUGUCUGCAUAUGUCACUAUGUGAAGGACCUGGACGUGGGGGAGGUUACCCUUGGUGGUUGCAAUGGCUCCCAUCUCAUUUCAUGGUUCUUUAUCGAGAGGAAAUGCAUCCUGCCUGUGGUCAGCGGGAAUGAGGACCACGAGGAGAUCAGAGAGACGUGAUGAGCCUAGCUACGCAAGCAACCCCAUCUCUAGGAGACAGAGGAGCAAAGACAUGGAUUCUCAUCCAGCAUCUUCAGACAGCAGCACUCCAGCCCUGUCAGGAUCAUGAUCCAGUUAUAUAUAUAUAUCACAUCAGGCUGCUAAGGAUAGUAAGAGGCCCCAUUGCUAAAGGGAAGGACUGUGCGGCUGGCUCAGACAGUGGCACAGACACAGCAAAGGCACGGCACCAUAGCCAGGCAGCGUGAUUGUUCCUGAAGACCAGUUCUGCAUGCUCUGAGGGCACCGGGUGAGUAAGCCAACUGGCGGGGGAAUACUGAUUGUUUUGUUCUUGCUCGUGCAGAACAGCCUCCAGCAAAGUAUGGGACCCAA
This is a long non-coding RNA of Mus musculus (house mouse), 944 nucleotides long. RefSeq annotates it as predicted gene, 53785. The transcript is spliced from 3 exons. NCBI's taxonomy places the organism in Eukaryota, Metazoa, Chordata, Mammalia, Rodentia, Muridae. The record is from RefSeq and is a predicted model, not a curated record.